GCCUGCCAAGGAUGGGUGACACACAAGGGCUCAUUAAAACGACCAACCGCCAUUUAGACCGGGAGAGCCAAUCAGAACACGUGCUUGAGAUACUAGUGAGUGAUUCAGGAGAACCAUCUUUAUCAUCUACCACCCGAGUGGUGGUUACAGUCGAAGACAUCAAUGAUCAUGAUCCACAAUUCACAGAAUCUCUUUAUCGAUGUCCAGUUUUGGUAUCUAACAAAAUGGCCGAAGGAUAUCUCUGUCGAGUUGUUGCUACCGAUCCCGAUGAAGGUCCCAAUGCUCUGGUGGAAUAUAAGAUACAAAAAACAAGUGCUGGAAACAUUUUUCAUGUACAUCCAAAAACUGGAAUUAUAACUACCAACAAGACUCUUCAGACCGGAUCUGAAUAUGAACUUUUUAUAGAAGCCAGUGAUCAUGGUAAACCAAAGCGAUCACAAACUGUUCGUGUUUUGAUUGAAGCCAUUGCUGGGCCUAAAAAGUCUCCUCAUCCUCCAGUCAUCAGGAAUUCUGAAUCAUACAAUGUAGUAACUGCAAGUGACCCAAUACAACAGAUGGUGACAUUAAUUGAAGCAGAUGAUAAAGAUAAAGACAGAUUAUGGUUUGCAAUUGUUGGUGGUAAUGAUGAUGAAAAAUUUAUGAUGAAAAAUGAUGCUGGUGCAGUCCUUUUAGCAGAGCCUGUGAAUGGAGAAAAGCUCAGCCAGUAUAACUUGAAUAUCAGCGUAACAGAUGGAACCCAUACUGUGUACACAAUGCGAAAGGUGGACGUGAAAGAUAUCAAUGAUCAUAGACCAGUUUUUAAGCAGUCUAAGUACAUUGUAACUGUCAAUGAGAGUUCUCAACAAGGAACAGAGAUCUUGCAUGUGUCUGCAGAAGAUCGUGAUAAAGCAGAGCAGCUGUUCUACUCAAUUUACAAUAGUGCUAGUCCUUCCAGCCUUAAACACUUCCACAUGGAUCCAAAGAAAGGUACAUUGUCCAUUGCCGAGCCCCUUGACCGUGAAAUGAGUCGACACCAUAUUCUGACCAUUAUGGUCAAAGAUCGAGGCACUCCUGCUAAACGGAACUUUGGUCGUGUACACGUUGAUGUGGAAGAUCAUAACGACCAUGCUCCUGAGUUUCUGUCCACUCAAUUUGAAGGUCAGGUUUAUGAGACAGCAGGUAUUGGCACCCCUGUUGUUCAAGUGUUUGCUGUUGAUAGUGACAAGGGAAGAAAUGCUCAUAUCAACUUUGCAAUUGUUAAAGGAAAUGAAGGGAACAGUUUUGCAAUCGACUCCAAGCUUGGAAUUGUUUCAGUUGCCAAGGAACUCAACCAGAAUCUUAUGGGAGAAUAUUAUCUCACUGUAAGAGCUUCGGAUGAAGGAGAAGUUCCCAAAGAAAGUACCACAAGUGUUCACAUUAUUGUGACGAUUCCCGAUAAUUCUGCACCAAAAUUUGAAAAGAAAGAGUAUGUCACAGAACUGUAUGAAAAUGAAAAACCUGGGACUGUUGUCAUUACCGUAGCAGCCUCCAGUCGGUCCCUGCUAUAUUAUGAAAUAGUAUCUGGAAAUAUUGACGCAAAGUUUGCUAUUAAUCCCCAUUCUGGUGAACUUCGCACAACUACAGAACUAGACUAUGAAGAAACAAAUCUCUACAAUUUAACUGUUAAUGCAACAAACCUAGUUAGUAUGAAUGCUAGUACUGUAAUAACUAUACAUGUACUUGACAGAAAUGAUAAUACUCCAAAGUUUCUGAAGUCUAUUUAUUAUGGCAAAAUUAGUGAAUCAGCAGAAAUUGGAACCCUGGUGUUAACCAAUGAAAGUGUUCCCCUGGUGGUCACUGCAACAGACAAAGACUCUGGAUUGAACUCGCAUUUAGUUUAUGAGAUUAUCGAGAAAUUACCCCGUACUUACUUCCAGAUCGAUUCGUCCACAGGUUCCAUAAGUACAGUCCAAACAUUGGAUCAUGAAAAAAUAACAUAUUUUCGAUUCACUGUCCAAGUUACAGAUAAGGGUAAACCUCGGCUUAUUGCUGAAGAAAACGCAGAAGUUUUUAUUUUGGUGCUGGAUGUAAAUGAUUCUCCUCCUCAGUUUGAAAAGGACAUGUACGAAUGUACCCUGCUUCUGCCUACUUACAAAGGUGUAGCUGUUACUGUUGUCAAAGCUCACGAUCCUGAUUCUGAUGCACAGACAGGAAUUAAAUAUGCUAUUGUAUCUGGUAACCGUGGAGCCAAGUUUGUUAUUAAUGAGGUCACUGGUCAGAUCUUCAUAAGGGACCCAGAAAAAUUGGAGGACCAGUACAAUAUGAUUGUAGCAGCUAAAGAUGGCGUGUUUGAGGCUAGCACCAAAGUUCAAGUCAGAGUAGAAAAGACAAAAGAUAGUGGACUAAAGUUUUCCAAGAGUAUUUACAGAGCUUCAAUUAUGGAAAACACAACUGACAUAUUAAAAGUUACUAUUGUAACUGUUGUUGGAAGUGCCCUAAAUGAGCAUGUGACUUUCGAUAUCCUAAACCCUUCUGGUAUGUUUAGGAUUGGGAAAACAUCUGGGUCAAUCCAGACAACUGGCAAGCCUUUUGAUCGUGAGACUGAAAACAGUUAUACUCUUGUUGUAGAAGCAAGAAGUGCAGUUACUUCUGUGCCACGUGUAGCUCAUGUCCUUGUAGAAAUAACUAUUCUUGACGUGAAUGACAAUGCCCCAAUAUUUGUUAAUCUUCCUUAUUAUUCAGUGGUGCCUAUUGAAGCCCAGCCUGGAGAUUUGAUUCGCAAGGUACAAGCUAUUGAUUUGGAUAUGGACUUAAAUGGGUACAUACAUUAUGAGCUAGUGAAAGGAGAGAAGGACCUGUUUAGUAUCGAUAGUCGAACAGGAGAAGUUCGGCUACGCCAUUACCUUAAACCUCACAUAACUGCUUAUGAUGUUGUCGUAGCAGCAUAUGAUAAUGGGAAGCCCUCAUUACGUAGUGAAGUAGCUGUACCCAUAAAGGUGAUCAACAGGAACAUGCCGACAUUUGAAAAACAGUUUUACAGAGUUUUAGUACCAGAAAAUAUACGUCCUAAAUCACCUGUUCUCUCAAUCACGGCUGAAAGUCCACAAGGACGCCAACUGAUCUACAGUAUUGUUAAAGGAAAUGAUGAUGAAGAAUUUGGAGUUGAUUUCAACACUGACCCAGGUCAUAAUAAUGGUCCAUGUGUUAUCUUUGUGGUGGAGGAGCUUGACUUUGAGAUCCGUCAGCAACAUCAUAUCACACUACGAGCCACUGAUUCUGUAUCUGGAGACUACACGGAUGUUUUAGUGGAUAUCCAAGUUGAAGAUGUGAAUGAUAAUGCUCCCAUGUUUAGUCAACCAACCUACAAUGGAACGAUCUCAGAGGCUACACCCUUUGGAACAUCAAUCCUGAAGGUUUAUGCAACUGACAGAGACACAGGUCCUAAUCAGGAUAUACAGUAUAGCAUUCUAGGUAAUGCUACUGCUUAUUUCCACGUUGAUCCUACAGAAGGCAUAGUCUUUAUCAAACAUUCUCUUGACCACGAAACUCAGCCUAUGCAUCAUUUUGUUGUUAUGGCAACAGAUGGAGGCUCACCAUCUCUAAGCUCGACGGCAAAUGUUUGGGUUACAGUUUCAGAUAUGAAUGACAAUCCUCCUUCAUUUAGAAACCCAUCUUAUAAAUGUGUCCUUAGUGAACAUGCUGAACGUGGGCAGUUUGUCAUCAUGGUGGUUGCAUCUGAUCCUGACGUUACAGACCAACCAAAACUAGCAUAUUCUAUUGUAGGUGGCAAUGAUCAUCAGGCUUUUACAAUCAACAACACAACGGGUGUGGUCUCCCUUUUCAAUGCUCAUCAGUUCUGGACACAGUCCUCCUAUGUUUUGAACAUAUCAGUAACAGACGGUGUGUACUCCAGCUAUGCUAGAGUUACAGUGGACAUACGGAGUGCUAACAGACACGCACCCGUGUUUAGCCGAACGAAAUAUGAAGUUGCCUUAGAAGAGAACCUGCCACCUGGAUCCUUGGUAGCAACUGUGAUUGCCACAGACAAAGACAGGAGUGUUUAUGGAGUUGUCAGAUACUAUAUACAGAGUGAAGAAUGUUUGAAAUUGUUCAGUAUAAAUCCCAGUUCAGGAGAAAUCGUCACAAAAAUGUCCUUUGACAGAGAAAAGAAAAACCUCUACGAGAUUCCUCUAGUGGCCAUGGAUGUUGGUGGACGAGCAGGGUACAGCACGGUUAGGCUUACCAUUACAGAUGUGAAUGACAAUAUACCACAGUUUUUAGUUGCAGAGUAUCAAGUUAGCAUACAUUCAAACAUGAUAGUAGGCACGACCAUUUUGAAAGUACAUGCAUUGGAUUUGGACUUGGCAGAAGCGGCAUCUUUGGAGUACAGUAUAUAUGAAAGGAACAAUUCAGAAAUUCAAAAAAUGUUUCACAUUGCUCACGAUCAAGGAGAAAUUUACCUUAAAAGUUCUGCUAAGGGGCUAGAAAAUACUGUGUAUCAGUUUUUUGUCCGAGCCCAAGACAGAGGAUCUCCACCAUUACAGACUGAAGUCCCAGUCAGUAUCCAUGUUAAAGGCCCAAAUCAACAAGCUCCCAAGUUUGACAAACUUUGUUAUGAGUUCUUUCUCAAUGAAAACUCUGAAAUUGGUAAAAUAGUCGCAACUUUAAGCGUAACUUACCCUGAAGAGGUUGUAUACUCUUUUGCUCCCGUUAACAAAGAUUCAGGAGCUCAACUUUACUUGUCAAGCUUCAGUAUUGACAACCAGGGUCACAUCAUGCAAGUUGCAGAACUAGACAGAGAAGAAAGAGACACUUAUAAUCUAACUCUCAGAGUGGAAUCCAUCUCCCAACACCAUUUAGCAUCGUACACUGAUGUUAGCAUUAUUCUGAUGGAUGAAAAUGACAACACUCCAGUGUUUGAAUCCAGUCCAUACAAAGUCACAGUUGCAGAGAAUGUAGAAGUAGACUACACAGUAACAAGAUUGGCAGCCUAUGAUCUUGAUAUCGCAACCAAUGCUAAAGUUGUGUUUUCGUUUGGUCCAGACACUGAGGAUAUUGCUAAAGUGUUUAAUCUGGAUCCCAUCGAGGGCUGGAUUACCGUCAAGACGCAUCUAGACCGGGAAACAACGCCCUGGUACAACUUUUCUGUUAUUGUCCAUGAUAGUGGUUCCCCACAACUUUCUUCACAAACAAUGGUGCAUAUAGAAGUAAAAGAUUACAAUGACAACCCUCCAGUUUUUAGGCGUGAUUACUAUGAAAGCUCUAUAUUUGAAAAUGCAUUGGCAGGAACCAUUAUCAUUAUGUUGGAAAUUGAUGAUCCUGAUAGUGAUGUUGGUGAUCCUGUUCAGUUUUACAUAAUUGAUGGUAAUCCACAAGAUCAGCUUCAUAUCAGCAGAAAUGGUGAGAUCUACGUCAACAAGCCCCUCGACAGAGAACAAACACCUAGCUACAAACUGAAAGUUAUUGGAACUGAUGGAAGAUUUGUAUCCAGCACUACAGUAGCUAUUGAAGUUUUGGAUGCUAACGACAAUCCUCCCAUUUGUUACAUGUCUAAAUACACAGAACUCGUAUCAGAGAGUAUUGAACCCAAAACUUAUAUCCUGACUGUUGAAGCAACAGAUAAGGAUGAGGAAAGGAAUGCCCAGCUGCAUUAUUACUUGACUGGAGAGGGAGCUGAAGAUUUUUACAUCAAUCCAGUAGAAGGAUUUUUGAAGACAGAAAAGCCACUGGAUAGAGAACGUCAGCCCCGUUACCAUCUCGUGGCUCACGUUCAAGAUAAAGACAAACCUGAAUGGGAAUGCACUACCGUUGUUGAAAUACUUCUCAGUGAUGUGAACGAUAAUCCUCCAGAAUUUACAUCAAAUGUUUACACUGUAACAGUCCCCGAGGAUUCUAAAGUUGGAACACUGAUCACCAAAGUCCAUGCUAUAGAUAAAGACUUGGGAAUAAAUCGUAAAAUUAGUUACUCCUUUGUUGAUUCUGCAAAUGGUAACUUCACCAUUAACAAUCAGACUGGCAUUGUCCGCCUCCACAGAUCUUUAGAUCGUGAGCAGAUAGCGUUUUACAACUUAACGGUUCAGUGUAGUGACCAUGGUACUCCUCAGCUCUCCUCUGUUGCAACCAUUUUGGUCAGGGUACAAGACAUUAACGAUAAUCCACCAGAGUUUGCUAAUAACUUCUAUCAUGCUAAUGUCUCGGAGAGAGACGAAGCUGGUACAGAACUUGUCCGUGUCCUCGCAAGAAGCAAGGACACUGGAGUGAAUGCAGAAAUCACCUAUUCUAUCGUCAAUGGAAAUGAUUUUGGUGGCUUUAUCAUUCAUCCAAAAUCAGGUGUCAUUUCUGUUGCUAAAAGUUUAGAUUAUGAAGAUGUGAAAGAUUAUUUCCUAACCAUUGAAGCCAAAGAUGGAGGAACGCCACCACUUAAUAACCAUGCCACAGUUAAUAUAUCUGUUAUCGAUGCUAAUGACAAUCCUCCAGUUUUCAAUCAGCCAUCUUACAGAGUUGUUAUUCCUGAGGAUGCAUCUCCAGGGGACAAAAUUAUACAGGUUAAAGCUAGCGAUAUUGACAGCCUUCCAAACUCCAGAUUGUCUUUCUUUAUCAUUGGAGGUGACAAACACAGCCAAUUUAAAAUGAAGGAGGAAGAUGGCUAUAUUAUUUUGGCUGCUCCACUGGACAGGGAGUCGGUUUCUACUUAUGUUUUGGAAGUGGAAUGUAAAGACAGUGGAACUCCUUCCUUAUCUACAGUUGUUUUGGUUAACAUUGAAGUUUCUGAUGUCAAUGAUAACCCACCUGUUUUCUCUCAGGCAAACUAUACAGCCAUUGUUCAGCUUGAUAAAUUGGAAACAGUAGAAGGAAAACAGCGGGGGUUUACCAUUCUGAAAUUUUCGGUCACUGAUGCUGACUCCCCUCCAAAUACAACCCCUUUUACAUUUGACAUUGUCUCUGGAAAUGAGGACAAGUCUUUCCGCCUGGUCCAGCAAGAUGCUUCUUUACGCACAGCCACCUUGUUCAACCAUAAGUUUAAGAAUGAAUACAUUCUCCACAUCAAGGUUUCAGAUGGAGGCAUACCACCACAGAGCAGUGAGACAUGGGUUGUGAUUCACAUCAUCGAAGAAAGCCAGUUCCCUCCGGUGGUAAACUCUUUGAAAGUUUCUGUGAGCUCUUAUCUAGAUGAGUUUCCUGGAGGUGUGAUGGGACGAGUCCAUGCCGCAGACAGCGAUCCCUAUGACAAGUUAAUCUAUGAUAUUGUGUCGCCUCACAAACAUUUGUUUAAGAUUGAUCCUGAAGAUGGUACAUUGGUUGCUUAUGAAGGAUUGGAUUCAGGGAGCUACAAUAUUACUGUCAGUGUCAGUGAUGGAAAGUUUAAUACAUAUGGAACUGCCUUGGUAGAGGUCUCUGUGGUGAUGGAGGAGGCAGUGAAGAACAGUAUAGGUAUCAGUCUCGAUGAUGUUACUCCUGAAGAUUUCCUUCUUAGUUACAAGAAAGGUUUUCUUAGGGCAGUAAGAAACAUUUUAAAUGUUCGAAUUCAAGAUGUGACAAUUAUCAGCAUGCAACCAUCCUUAGAUGAGUCCAUCAGAAGUCGCAGAAGCACGCGACAGGAUCUAGACAUCUUGUUUGCAAUAAAAAAGGGUAUUCAAGGAUUUUAUUCGCCAAACACAAUUUUGACAAAAUUGAAAGAGCAGAAAGAAUCUUUCGAAUCAACUAUUGGACUCAUGGUUGUAAAGGUUACAGAAGACAGGUGCACCAAAAACCACUGCGAUCAUGGAGAAUGUGUUGACAGAGUUAUUUUAGACAAGAUCCAUGCCAUUAGCAUCACAACUGACUCUUUAAGUUAUGUGUCUCCCCAACAUUAUAGGAAACUCGAGUGCCAUUGUGAUCCAGGUUACGGAGGAGAACGCUGUGAUCAUGAAGUGAAUGAAUGUGCUCGUAGACCGUGUCCACAGUAUCGUGUUUGUACACCAGAUGGCUCUCCAUUGGGUUACACCUGCAGGUGUCCAGAGGGAAAAAUGGGAACCUUCUGUGACCUAGAAGAGGGGGCUCCUUGUCAAGGUCUUGCCUGUUAUGAAGAAAAGCAUCCAAUUUUCUUCAGUGGAAAGAGUUAUGCUCAUUAUGAACUAAACAUCCCCAUCAAUCGACACUUAAGUGUGGUUUUACGAAUAAGGACAAAAUUAGCAACUGGAAACCUGAUGUAUGCUGCCGGAAUGAGAGAUUACAGUAUACUUGAGAUGGUAGAUGGUUUCAUCCAGUACCGAUUCGAUUUUGGCAGUGGUGAGGGAAUAAUUCAGGUAUCAAAUGUAAGAGUGAAUGAUGGAUUGUGGCAUGAGGUAAAGUUAGACAGGCAUGACAAUACAGCAGAAGUUUUUGUUGAUGGUCAAUUUAGAAUAUCGGGGAAGGCCCCAGGUGUUCACGAACUGCUGAACUUGGAAAGAAAUGAUGUCUUUUUUGGAGGUGAGGUACACACCUUGACACUUGAUGAUGUAAGAAUGGGCUUCAUUGGGUGUAUGGAUGACAUUCGGGUGGCAGGAUUACCACUUCCACUCAUCUCUUCGGCAAGCAGCUCUGUUGCCACAUUAAGAAGGUUUGUUCGUGUGGAAUAUUUCUGUGGUGCUUUGAUGGACCCAGGAGUUUGUGGUAGUCAACCUUGUCUCAAUGGUGGAACAUGUAAGGAUCUGGGACAGCUCUUUUCUUGCCAGUGUCCACAUCGUUUCUCUGGUCCUCGUUGUGAGUUUGACAGUAAUCCUUGUGCCUCAAAUCCUUGUCUUUAUGGUGGCACCUGCUACAAUAAUAAUAAUGAUUUUCGAUGUGAAUGUACACCAGGUCUCACCGGGAAGCGAUGUAGUUAUGGACGUUACUGUAACCCUAAUCCUUGCCAAAAUGGUGGCAUAUGUGAAGAAGGUGUUUCUGGACCUAGUUGCAAGUGUCAUGGUUUCCAUGGUAACUUUUGUGAGUUUGAUAUUGAUGAGUGUCAAACAUCACCUUGUGCUGUAGGUUCAACAUGCAUCAACUUCCGGGGAAGUUUUCGAUGCCAAUGUCAACCAAACAUGACAGGACCUCUUUGUACAGAAUCUCGUUUUACAACCUCCAUCACAUCAACUAGCAUGAACAUUACUAAAGAAGAAAUCAUUGGUAUUGCUGUAGUACUAGCUUUUAUUAUCAUUGCUGUCAUAAUAAUUGUCUGUUGCUGUCGUGUCUAUCACCGUAAACGACAUCGAAGGCCUCAAAACAAUGCCACACAGGAAGACUCAGCCAGUGAAAUGAUGUUGAAGAACCCAGUAGAUAAGGACAACUUCAAUAGAAUGGGUAAAGUGAGUAACUUGGAAGUAACACCAUUCAUAAGACCCACAAUACCUCCCCGCCCAGCUUCUUACACCCCAAGCACUCAAGAAACUCUGAGUACAAUGAAUAAUUUUGACACAGUUCGCAGCUAUGGCAGUGCUGCUGAUGACUUGGAGAGCAUCCCUCGCUAUAGUAAUGAAUUUUUGCAGAACAUUAACAAGCCAAUUGUCAGUGUAGCACCUACUCUUCCUCCUCCACCACCAUCCAACUCUGCAUCUGACUCUGAUUCCAUUGUCAAAGAAGGAUGGGAACACGACAAAGAGAGAUCCAAAGAAAAAAUGUAUCAGAAUAAAAUCCAAAAUGACUUGAAGCCUCAAAAGGUUGUGGCUCUUUCUCCUCUUCCUGUGGUCAAUCCAGUUAUACCAUCUAGAGGUCCUUCAAGUCUUGGAGUCUCUUCAGAACUAAGUUCAGUGGAUGAUCUAUCUGCUGGACCAGUGGGACAAAAUCCUCAUCAGUCUACAGUCACACCUCUCCCUCCCCCACGUCUUUGUCCAGAGCGGGGUAAGCAUUCCUUCCCCUGUCUCGUGGGGUAGGCAAAGCAAGUUUGGCCCCAGACAUCCUACUAACAGAAUGUUUCUCUUAGGGAACCUUGGUAGCUUUGCAGUUGCAAAUGGUGUCUGAAUUAAUCAAUUUUCAGCCAACUAUAAUUUACAUUUAUAUAAAAACCCUGAAAAUUGCCCAUCCUCUAAAGAUAAAAAAAUUAGUGUUGUUGACAAGGCUGAGGUUAUUCUUUAUGGCUUAGCAUGAGUUUGCUGUGGUUUUGUUAACUAUGUAAUGCUUAAACAUUUUUCACGGGGAAUGAACAGACUCGCCUAUUUGAGCUGGUAGUAGUGCAAGAUUUGCUAAAUGUUCUGUUUUGUUACUGUGAUAUUUUGAAAGUUUGUUAAAGUGAGAUUUAUUUCUCAAUUAUCAAUCAGAAAUUUCUGAAAACUUCAGUCUAGGAGGCUCAGCUCUUUUCAAAUAUAUUGAUUUCUGUAGAACUACAUAUUUGCAUGUAUUAAAAAUUGAGAACUACAACUUAAUAUGCUUCAAUAGAAAUAACACUUAAAAUUUUCACAAGUACGGGGUUUACGGAAGUGAUCAUGUUAUUGAUGGAACAAGGAAAGCUAUCAAAGUAUUGACUCACUUCUUGUUUUUAACUUGUAAGUUAAAUCUAAUAAAGAGUGAAGGUACUAGAACUUUAUUCUAGAUUACAACUGAAUCUUAGAGCGUGAACUAUGAGCUUAUAGAAUUCCAUAAAGCAAAAACGUCCAAGAGAUCUUUUGUGCUGGAUGUUACUUUUGAUUAUUAGUACAUGGUAUAUAAACCAUUGCUUUGAAUAAAAGAUAAUUAUGUAAUAGCAUAAUCACAUAAAUUUCCAGACCUGGUAUGUACGACGUCAACAUUUUUCAAAUUUUAUUGAACUUGAUGAAUUCAGUGUGUAAAAAAAAACUGUAUGUUUGUUGCAUUAUUACCAAGUUUAAAUUAAUUAGUUGUUGUGUGAUUAUAUAAAUCAUUAGCUCUCAAGUAUAGAGUCUCUUGAGAAUUUAUUUUGAAGGACAGGAUAUACUUUUAUUUUCUGUUUUUCUUGGUUUAUUCUGAAGCUGCAUCUAAAUUUUUAAUUUGCUUGGGCCUGGUGGUGGUAUUAUUAUUCUCCUAUUUCUGUGUAGUUAUUUUACUGUUUGAAGUAGGUUUUGGACUACUAACUAUAGCUCUGUUCCCUCCAGACCAUCCAGGGGAGAAGAGAGGCAAGGAUACUAAAGGAUACCAUUGGGACUGUUCUGAUUGGGCUAAUGCUCAGAAACCACUUGACAACAUCACAGAGAUCUCUAUGAAUGAGGUACCAGAUUCAUCUAGUGUACAAAGUGCAGAUA
Molecule: unclassified non-coding RNA, 11147 nt
Filed under: Limulus polyphemus (Atlantic horseshoe crab)
Lineage: Eukaryota; Metazoa; Arthropoda; Merostomata; Xiphosura; Limulidae
Description: fat-like cadherin-related tumor suppressor homolog, transcript variant X1
Source: RNAcentral